ACCUAAUGUAACGUUUUAUUUCUUAUUUUUAUUAUAAUUUAAUUUAUCUAUAAAUUCUAUACUUAAUAUUCACUUUUGAGUAUUGUCUCAAUACUCGUUUGUUAUUGUUAUCUAUAAAUUACAAAACUCCAUCUUGAAUAUUAUAUUGAAUAUUAUAAAGAACACAAGAGUCGAUUAAAAAGUGGGUGGUGAAUUUCAAAGUAUGAUAUUUUACGCAACAAAAUUUAAAUUGCGUUUAUAUAUUAAUACCAAAACAUUGGAAUGUUUUACUCAACUUCGGUUCAGCUCCACCUAGUACAUAUCGUACAUAUAUAUGUAUAUACACAUAUAUAGCAGUUUUAUGUUUUGUCGAUAAAGUUUCCUCGUUUAAAAUUCCUCUUUAUAUCGAAUAAACGAUACGAGACAAUCCAAUCCAUGAAUUCGUCAGAGAAAACUUGUUAAGAAUAUUCCAUUCUUUUCUUCCGAUGCUGAAUUCCAUUUACCUUUUUUUUUUAAAAAGAUAAUAGAAUUUUUAAUGAACUAAAUUACACAUACCGUCAACGAGAUUUCUCACAUAGAAAUAAAGGAGGACGUUCUUUUUAUAUUUGAGAACAUUAUGUCAUAAAGUAUAGUGGAAAAAUUUGGAAAUUGAAUGGAAAAUUUUCUUCGUUGUCUUCGUUUGUCUUUUGUAAUCGGGUAUAAUGAACAUUCUUAUUAUAUAUUUAGAUACCAAAAGGACUGAGAAUGGAUAUAGCUUCUUUCCGAAGUGAGCACUAAAACAUAAUAAUCUACGCAUUAAUUUGGAUCAUUCUAAAUUUAAUUGAUCGGUAACGUUGAUUAUGUUAACUAUCAAUUUUCAAGUGGAUCCAACCUACGAUAUUUUAUUCCAAAAUAUGUAUAAAGCAUGCAUUAUCACGGACGGCGCCGAGUAUAAUUCCUUGGCCGAUUUCGUGACAAUGAGUAAACGAGGAGCAAACCUGGGUUGGAGAAGUGGGAAGUCAGCGGAGUCUUUCGACAAUUUUCAACGGGUUCGGGGCGAAUAUAAAGGGGAAAUUGAGCUUUUGGGACGAAACGAGGGUCUAAGGCGAACAGGAAACCAUUAGUUCGCAGGAAAAAGGGCGAAAUUAUUGAUGCCAAAUGGUGCCACUUGGCCAGACAUGCGAAUAAUACCGUUCCUCCGAUCACGCCUUUAUACAUAUACGCAAACUGCGUUUCGUUCCAACCAGGGACCAUAAUUGUUACAACCAAAAUUAAGAAAGAACGUCGUGCAGAAUGGUGUACGUCUUCAAAUGUCAUAACCUUCUUCUCUACGACUUGUACGAGGUAAGCUGUUGCCCACGUAUCGUUAGAUUUGAGGAUCCCUGUGCACCCCGUUGCUUAAGUUGACCUAAUUUCGUUCGUGUAAGGAGGUUUGCUCGCAUACAGGGAUCUUUCGACCGAUUUUUAAUAGUCAAUAACUAAAAUACAAAGCCGAAAAUGCAAUUUCUUUAUUCUUGAUUUUCGUCUUAUUUCGACUUCAAGAAUCACUCCUUAAAUUUUCAAACACCUGUAUUCGAACACUCUGUUUAUUUAUUGUAUUUAUUACAGUAUUUGCACUCUAAUUAAUUAGGUCUUAGGAAUAUUAAAUCUCGUAUUAUAAAUAGAACAGUUUGAUACUACAAAAAUGAAAUAUAAAAUAUGUAUGCCAAUACUUUUUGGACUGACUGUACUGCUGAUGGUAUAAAUUUUUCUUUAUCUUUUACAUUUUGAUAGUAAAAGAUUUUCUUUUUUUUGUACUACUUUCAACCGUCGUCAAUUUCUGUUAACAUUACUGAUAAUAAAUAAUAUCUAGGAAAUACACUAAAAUUGAAUUCCUACGGUCGAAGUGCAAUUAUAAUGACCAUAUCAAUUACCAGUAGUGUUAAUAAAAAUUGACAAUGAUGGAAAGUAAUAAGAAAAUGUUUUCGCCUGUAACUAGGAAAUAUUGACAACUACCAAAUAUUUUUACCACUGAUAAUGGUUGUUGGUAACCAAAAAGAAAUAUCCCAUAAUAUGAUCAUCAGUACAAACAAAGAAAUGUUAAUCAUUCGUAAUAAUUAUUCGUGUAACCAGAACACUCAAAAAUUAAUAUUUUUGAUUCAUCUAAAUUUUUGCUUUCAAUUGAAAUAAUAAUUACGUUUGUUUCAAUAAUUUUCUCGUAAAAACGAAAGAAAAAAUAUGUUAUUUUUUACCUCUGGCUUGAAUACGUUUCUCGCCACUUUCUCGUUAAUCGCAACGUUAAAUACACGCGUCGCGCGAGCAUUACGUUUCGCGGCUUCGUUAACUUUGUGGGAAAGGAAACGCGACUGGAAAGUACAGGGAAAAGGAAGAAACGGAAGUUUUGGCUAACGAUCGCGUGGUUGCAAUUAUUUUUGCGUUUGAAUCUUUCCCAAGUCUUGAAAACAGGAAAAGAGCAACAUUUUUAUAAAAAGUAAUUUCGAGAUCAAAGUUUGAUUCCGCCACGUGUAUGCAAGUAAAACAGAGGUAAAUUAUACUUGUUGAAAAAUGAUUUUCUAGGAAUUAUUUCAUUUGUGCCUGUCUUUC
Molecule: long non-coding RNA, 2541 nt
Organism: Bombus pascuorum
Lineage: Eukaryota; Metazoa; Arthropoda; Insecta; Hymenoptera; Apidae
Exons: 3
Source: RefSeq, a predicted model, not a curated record